ACGUAAGGAGCAAGCGUUGUCCGGAUUUACUGGGCGUAAAGAGCUCGUAGGCGGCCGAUCAGGUGUCGCGUAAAAUCCCCCGGAUCAACCGGGGAGGGUCGCGGGAAACCGAACGGCUUGAGGACAGAAAAGGAAAGUGAAAUUCCCAGUGUAGCGGUGAAAUGCGUAGAUAUCGGGAGGAACACCAGUGGUGAAGACGGCUUUCUGGUCUGUUACUGACCCUGAGGAGCGAAAGCCAGGGGAGGGAACCU
This 251-nucleotide ribosomal RNA is filed under the name uncultured prokaryote. RNAcentral describes it as "partial 16S rRNA". It matches the Rfam family "Bacterial small subunit ribosomal RNA", at positions 525 to 775 of the family's 1533-position model. The record is from RNAcentral.